GGCUGGUCCGCAGGUAGUGAGUUCUUUCAGCUGAUUGUUCACAGUCAGCCAAUUAAUGACAAUUGUUAGCAAUUGAUUACCCUGUUCUCACUACUAUAGUUGACUAGUCUUAA
This 113-nucleotide Y RNA is filed under the name Microtus ochrogaster (prairie vole). Its description in RNAcentral is "Y RNA (ENSMOCG00000009029.1)". It matches the Rfam family "Y RNA". From Rfam's summary of the family: Y RNAs are components of the Ro ribonucleoprotein particle (Ro RNP), in association with Ro60 and La proteins. The Y RNAs and Ro60 and La proteins are well conserved, but the function of the Ro RNP is not known. Lineage: Eukaryota; Metazoa; Chordata; Mammalia; Rodentia; Cricetidae. The record is from Rfam by way of RNAcentral.